CUUGGAGAAACCGAACACGCCUUUGGGUUUGGGGGCACGGGAAAACUUUCUAGUGCUGGGAAAUAUUCGAAUUUUGGUGGAAGUUCGGCUUUGGAGAUAUCAUAAUAUGUGCUAUAGAUCUUGAAAGUAAACCAUUGGGUACCAUAUGAUUUGCUAAGAAUGGAAAAUGGUUAGGCAUUGCAAAGCAAUUUGAUGCUGGUCUGAAGGGUCUUGGAGUUUCCCCAAAGAGAGAGCUGCACUGGCAAUUAGCAGUAUUUCCUCAUAUUUUAUUGAAACAUUUUGUUGUCCUAAUGCAGUUAUGUAUUGAAGAGAAACUUGUUCCUAUAGAUGGCUAUAAACCUCGGGCUUCCUCUCUUGACAACUGCAGCACGAUAUUGGGGCCUACUUGUUGUAAAAAGGACUGCGAAAUGAUGAUGAUGGUGGGUUUAUCAGCUUCAGGAAAAACUACUUGGGCUGAGAAAUGGGUGAAGGACCACCUGAGAACUGAGAAGUGUUAUGUUAUGCUUGGAACAAAUCUGAUCCUUGAUCAGAUGAAGGUUUUGGCUUAUUCUUUGUACUAGUACUAGUAGGGUAGAUAGACAAAUAGUUCUCUUUGCUAUGUGUAAUCUUCUUUACAGAAGCAAGAUUGUUUCAGGUUACUGGGUACUCCGUAAAAAACAACUAUGGUGAAUGAUUUGAGCGUUUGAUGGCUCAAGCAAAUGUGAUGUUUGACACCCUAUUAACCAGGCUUCCGGGAGACAUCACAAUUAUAUUAUUGAUCAAACAAAUGUUUUCAAAAGUGCUCGCAAACGCAAAUUGAGAUCAUUUGCGGAUUUUCACAAGACUGCUGUUGUGGUGUUUCUGGAACCAGAAGAGUUGAAGGUUUGCUCUGAUAAAAGAUUUAAAGAAAUGGGAAAGGAGCGAAUUAUGUAUUGCCUUUGAGCAAAGAUAUGCCUGCUUCAGAUGAGCUUUUUGAUCAGGUUGUAUUCGUUGAGCUUGACACAGGAGAGGCCUAUAGAGACAUUCGGAUCAGAUGAAGCAUGCUCAAUGCUCAGUAUCCAGUCCAAACUUACAGACCAGUCAGUCUCCUCGUUCUCACAAAAGUUCAUUUCAGGCCCUUCCUAGGCCCUCACUGACAAAUCACUCAAAUUUGUCAGUUGGUAGUGAAGACUGGCAGAGCUCUUAUCCUCCUCCCCCCCCAAUUAAACUAUGGCUACCAAAUGCCCA
Molecule: long non-coding RNA, 1206 nt
Organism: Pistacia vera
Lineage: Eukaryota; Viridiplantae; Streptophyta; Magnoliopsida; Sapindales; Anacardiaceae
Exons: 5
Source: RefSeq, a predicted model, not a curated record